AGCAACCGGGUUGCGAACCAUGUUCUAUCCCGACUAAGUGGCCGUCCUGGGAGUUAUAGUGCCACUAGCCGGCCUCGGCUGUUCCCUGUCCGAGGCUCUUGUCAUUUCCGCUUAUUUCCUCCACGGGUGCCGAUUUCAUGUGUGUGUUCCCGAGUGCCUGAGCCGGCUCCCGAAAUGAGUACUCGUGGUUUCCGCGUGGGAACCAACCUCGAGCGCCAGUGGCCCGCCCUCUCCGGGCUGAGGUGGCUGCUGAGGCUGGGGCUGCUCCUGAGGCUUCAGGGCCGCCCGCUGCACGGCUUUCUACCUUCCCAGGUUAGCCGCGGUCAACUUCUGCCAGGCGGAGCGAGAAAUCGCAUUUUGUCAGCUGUAACACUCACCGUGAAGGUCUGAAGCUUUACUCUGGAAGCCAGUGAGACCAGGAACCCACCGGGAGGAAUGAACGACUCCAGACACACCGCCUUAAGAUCUGUGACACUCACCGCGAAGGUCUGCAGCUUCAUUCCUGAUCCAGCGAGACCAUGAACCCACCAGAAGGAAAAAACUCCGGACACAUCCGAACGUCUAGAAGAAACAAACUCCAGACACACCGCCUGUAAGAACUGUAACGGUCACCGCGAGGGUCCGCGGUUUCAUUCUUGAAGUCAGUGAGACCAAGAACCCACCAUUUCUGGACACACUACCAUGCCAGAGAUCCAGGGGCUGCAGCAUGCUGAAAGAAAACAGAAGCCUGUGGAGUGAGCCAAGAUCAACCAGGAAAUAAACCCUUUCCCUUGCGAUGUCUCUCCAGCGCCCUCUACUGACAAACCUGCUUUAGUGCCAGUUUGUAGAGAGACCUGCAGAAUUCAAUCAGAUGGAUUCUCACACCCGUUUGCAGAUGACUGCCUCUGGCCCUGUUGCUCAUCCUGUUUGCUCAGCAAGAGAACCUGUUGGUUUUUAUUUGAUAAAUGUACAAAUCUUGAGAGUUGGGAGAAUCAGUAGCCCACCUCAAAACUGACAUGCUUUGUGUUUUUGAGAAAGCUACUUUCAUUUGCUAUGACGUCUGGCUAACAAAGAUCUUUUUCAUUUUGUUUCAGAGACAGUUGGAUUUUUUUCCUGUUUCUGGUUAAUUGCUAAAAUCUACAGUGUGCUGAAGGUGGAGUAAAGUAUUUCCCCAAAGGAUUCCAAGCACAUCUCCCUUGCCCUUGAAUAUCUGUAUAUCUAUAUGAACAUCAAUUGAGAUAUAUAUGUGUGUGCCCCUAAUUACAUAAUUUUAAGCAUAUAUAUAAAAAUGUAAAAUCUCAUUGUCUGGCCUCAGUUUGUAUGACACAAAAUACUGAUUGUAUGGAAGAAAACAGAUUGGGAAACAGAUUUAUUCUAUAUCAUAUUUUCCUGAAAAGCUACCUUAAAAAGAUUUAAAUUAAAGCAAUUAGAGCAAGGGAGGCACAUUUCUUUAAAAAAUUAAAGUUGAGUACCAUACUGGUUUUUCAGAUGAAAUUUUCUUUUCCUUUUUCUCCUUCAUAUUGCUCAGAGCAUCUAAUUCCAUCAGAACUAUUGUCAAAUAAAUUUUAUGUAAAAUGUGUAUUUUUCUAAUGGGAGUUGAUUAUACAAACUGUAUUACACCUUUGUAUCUGAGUGAUCAUUUAAAAAUGCAUAUUGGUUUAGCACAUAGAGUUUAUGAAAUGCCAGAUAAUGCUCUUAUUCCUCAGUGAAAUCUGCACAUUUCUAGUUGUUGGUGGUCUAUUUCUGUUUGCUGUUCCUUGGAGGGGGGCUGAGAAUGUUCAAGUUUGACUUAGCUGUGUUUAAGUAAUAAAUCUUUGGAGUCAA
This is a long non-coding RNA of Homo sapiens (human), 1803 nucleotides long. NCBI's taxonomy places the organism in Eukaryota, Metazoa, Chordata, Mammalia, Primates, Hominidae. The record is from Ensembl.